This 72-nucleotide transfer RNA is filed under the name Cavia porcellus (domestic guinea pig). It matches the Rfam family "tRNA". Rfam says of the family: Transfer RNA (tRNA) molecules are approximately 80 nucleotides in length. Their secondary structure includes four short double-helical elements and three loops (D, anti-codon, and T loops). Further hydrogen bonds mediate the characteristic L-shaped molecular structure. tRNAs have two regions of fundamental functional importance: the anti-codon, which is responsible for specific mRNA codon recognition, and the 3' end, to which the tRNAs corresponding amino acid is attached (by aminoacyl-tRNA synthetases). tRNAs cope with the degeneracy of the genetic code in two manners: having more than one tRNA (with a specific anti-codon) for a particular amino acid; and 'wobble' base-pairing, i.e. permitting non-standard base-pairing at the 3rd anti-codon position. Lineage: Eukaryota; Metazoa; Chordata; Mammalia; Rodentia; Caviidae. The record is from Rfam by way of RNAcentral.
ACAAAUGUAGCUCAGUGGUAGAGCAUUUGCCUCCCAUACAUAAAGCUGUGGGUUCAAUCCCCAGUAUAGGCC